GAAAGUCUGACGGAGCACACCGCGUGAUUGAUGACGGCCUUCGGGUUGUAAAGAUCUUUUCUGGGGGAAGAACUCUGACGGUACCCUAGGAAUAAGCACCGGCUAAAUUCGUGCCAGCAGCCGCGGUAAUACGAAUGGUGCAAGCGUUACCCGGAAUUAUUGGGCGUAAAGCGUCCGUAGGCGGCGCAUCAAGUCGAGUAUUAAAGGCCCUAGCCCAACUGGGGUUUGGUGCUCGAAACUGUUGUGCUAGAGACUUGGAGAGGUGAGUGGAAUUCGGUGU
RNAcentral lists this ribosomal RNA (280 nucleotides) under uncultured Microgenomates group bacterium. RNAcentral describes it as "partial 16S ribosomal RNA". It matches the Rfam family "Bacterial small subunit ribosomal RNA", at positions 377 to 674 of the family's 1533-position model. The record is from RNAcentral.